GAUGAACGCUGGCGGCGUGCUUAACACAUGCAAGUCGAACGGAAAGGCUCCUGCUUGCAGGGGUACUCGAGUGGCGAACGGGUGAGUAACACGUGGGUGAUCUGCCCUGCACUUCGGGAUAAGCCUGGGAAACUGGGUCUAAUACCGGAUAGGACGAUGGUUUGGAUGCCAUUGUGGAAAGUUUUUCGGUGUGGGAUGAGCUCGCGGCCUAUCAGCUUGUUGGUGGGGUAAUGGCCUACCAAGGCGUCGACGGGUAGCAGGCCUGAGAGGGUGUACGGCCACAUUGGGACUGAGAUACGGCCCAGACUCCUACGGGAGGCAGCAGUGGGGAAUAUUGCACAAUGGGCGCAAGCCUGAUGCAGCGACGCCGCGUGGGGGAUGACGGCCUUCGGGUUGUAAACUCCUUUCGCUAGGGACGAAGCGCAAGUGACGGUACCUGGAGAAGAAGCACCGGCUAACUACGUG
This 465-nucleotide ribosomal RNA is filed under the name uncultured bacterium. RNAcentral's name for it is "partial 16S ribosomal RNA". It matches the Rfam family "Bacterial small subunit ribosomal RNA", at positions 28 to 507 of the family's 1533-position model. The record is from RNAcentral.